RNAcentral lists this microRNA (22 nucleotides) under Tribolium castaneum (red flour beetle). RNAcentral describes it as "Tca-Mir-3-P12b_3p (mature (guide))". Lineage: Eukaryota; Metazoa; Arthropoda; Insecta; Coleoptera; Tenebrionidae. The record is from RNAcentral.
UCACUGGGCAAGGUAGACUCUA